GAGGAAUAAGCAUCGGCUAACUCCGUGCCAGCAGCCGCGGUAAUACGGGGGAUGCAAGCGUUAUCCGGAAUCAUUGGGCGUAAAGCGCCUGUAGGUUGUUUAAUAAGUCUGUUGUUAAAGACUAGGGCUCAACCCUAGAAAAGCAAUGGAAACUGUUAGACUAGAGUAUGGCAGGGGUAGAGGGAAUUUCUAGUGUAGCGGUGAAAUGCGUAGAUAUUAGAAAGAACACCGGUGGCGAAAGCGCUCUACUGGACCAUUACUGACACUCAGAGGCGAAAGCUAGGGUAGCAAAAGGGAUUAGAUACCCCUGUAGUCCUAGCCGUAAACGAUGGAUACUAGAUGUUGUAUGUUAUUUACAGUAUCGUAGCUAACGCGUUAAGUAUCCCGCCUGGGGAGUACGCUCGCAAGGGUGAAACUCAAAGGAAUUGACGGGGGCCCGCACAAGCGGUGGAGCAUGUGGUUUAAUUCGAUGCAACGCGAAGAACCUUACCAGGGCUUGACAUACUACAGAUUCUUUUGAGAGAGAGAAGUGCCUUCGGGAAUGUAGAUACAGGUGGUGCAUGGCUGUCGUCAGCUCGUGUCGUGAGAUGUUGGGUUAAGUCCCGCAACGAGCGCAACCCUUAUUUUUAGUUACCAAUUCGUUGGGUUCUCUAGAAAGACUGCCGGUGACAAACCGGAGGAAGGUGAGGAUGACGUCAAGUCAGCAUGCCCCUUAUGCCCUGGGCUACACACGUGCUACAAUGGCUAAGACAAAGAGUUGCAAGCUCGCGAGAGUAAGCUAAUCUCAUAAACUUAGCCUAAGUUCAGAUUGUAGGCUGCAACUCGCCUACAUGAAG
This 836-nucleotide ribosomal RNA is filed under the name Haptophyta environmental samples. RNAcentral describes it as "bacterial SSU rRNA". It matches the Rfam family "Bacterial small subunit ribosomal RNA", at positions 481 to 1325 of the family's 1533-position model. Lineage: Eukaryota; Haptophyta. The record is from RNAcentral.